AGAGUUUGAUCCUGGCUCAGGACGAACGCUGGCGGCACGCUUAACACAUGCAAGUCGAACGAGAGAAGAGGAGCUUGCUUUUCUGAUCUAGUGGCGGACGGGUGAGUAACACGUGAGCAAUCUGCCUUUCAGAGGGGGAUACCGAUUGGAAACGAUCGUUAAUACCGCAUAACAUAAUUGAACCGCAUGAUUUGAUUAUCAAAGAUUUAUCGCUGAAAGAUGAGCUCGCGUCUGAUUAGCUAGUUGGUAAGGUAACGGCUUACCAAGGCGACGAUCAGUAGCCGGACUGAGAGGUUGAUCGGCCACAUUGGGACUGAGACACGGCCCAGACUCCUACGGGAGGCAGCAGUGGGGAAUAUUGCACAAUGGAGGAAACUCUGAUGCAGCGAUGCCGCGUGAGGGAAGAAGGUUUUAGGAUUGUAAACCUCUGUCUUCAGGGACGAAAAAAGACGGUACCUGAGGACGAAGCUCCGGCUAACUACAUGCCAGCAGCCGCGGUAAUACGUAGGGAGCGAGCGUUGUCCGGAAUUACUGGGUGUAAAGGGAGCGUAGGCGGGAUCGCAAGUCAGAUGUGAAAACUAUGGGCUUAACCCAUAAACUGCAUUUGAAACUGUGGUUCUUGAGUGAAGUAGAGGUAAGCGGAACUCCUAGUGUAGCGGUGAAAUGCGUAGAUAUUAGGAGGAACAUCAGUGGCGAAGGCGGCUUACUGGGCUUUAACUGACGCUGAGGCUCGAAAGCGUGGGGAGCAAACAGGAUUAGAUACCCUGGUAGUCCACGCCGUAAACGAUGAUUACUAGGUGUGGAGGGACUGACCCCUUCCGUGCCGCAGCAAACGCAAUAAGUAAUCCACCUGGGGAGUACGACCGCAAGGUUGAAGCUCAAAGGAAUUGACGGGGGCCCGCACAAGCAGUGGAGUAUGUGGAUUAAUUCGAAGCAACGCGAAGAACCUUACCAGGUCUUGACAUCGUAUGCAUAGCUCAGAGAUGAGUGAAAUCUCUUCGGAGACAUAUAGACAGGUGGUGCAUGGUUGUCGUCAGCUCGUGUCGUGAGAUGUUGGGUUAAGUCCCGCAACGAGCGCAACCCUUACUGUUAGUUGCUACGCAAGAGCACUCUAGCAGGACUGCCGUUGACAAAACGGAGGAAGGUGGGGAUGACGUCAAAUCAUCAUGCCCCUUAUGACCUGGGCCUCACACGUACUACAAUGGCUGUCAACAGAGGGAAGCAAAGCCGCGAGGUGGAGCGAACCCCUAAAAGCAGUCUUAGUUCGGAUUGUAGGCUGCAACCCGCCUACAUGAAGUCGGAAUUGCUAGUAAUCGCAGAUCAGCAUGCUGCGGUGAAUACGUUCCCGGGCCUUGUACACACCGCCCGUCACGCCAUGGGAGUCGGUAACACCCGAAGCCUGUAGUCUAACCGCAAGGAGGACGCAGUCGAAGGUGGGAUUGAUGACUGGGGUGAAGUCGUAACAAGGUA
RNAcentral lists this ribosomal RNA (1470 nucleotides) under metagenome. Its description in RNAcentral is "bacterial SSU rRNA". It matches the Rfam family "Bacterial small subunit ribosomal RNA". The record is from RNAcentral.